RNAcentral lists this ribosomal RNA (400 nucleotides) under uncultured bacterium. RNAcentral describes it as "bacterial SSU rRNA". It matches the Rfam family "Bacterial small subunit ribosomal RNA", at positions 355 to 747 of the family's 1533-position model. The record is from RNAcentral.
UCGAGAAUCUUUCACAAUGGGGGCAACCCUGAUGGAGCGACGCCGCGUGGAGGAUAAGGUCUUCGGAUUGUAAACUCCUGUCAUGCGAGAACAAGGCUGCGGGGUUAAUAGCUCAUGCAGAUUGAUGGUACCGCAAGAGGAAGAGACGGCUAACUCUGUGCCAGCAGCCGCGGUAAUACAGAGGUCUCAAGCGUUGUUCGGAAUCACUGGGCGUAAAGGGUGCGUAGGUGGCGUGGUAAGUCAGAUGUGAAAGCCCGGGGCUCAACUCCGGAACUGCAUCCGAUACUGCCGUGCUAGAGCACUGAAGAGGUGACCGGAAUUCUCGGUGUAGCAGUGAAAUGCGUGGAUAUCGAGAGGAACACCAAAGGCGAAGGCAGGUCACUGGGCAGUUGCUGACACU